GGGAAAGUUAAUAUACACAUGCAUUGUUCAGAAGCAGCUUUACAGUUUGUUGACAACUUUAGUACUGAAAUAUACCUUUAACUAGCAACUUACAUCUACGAAGUUUUGUUUCCUCAAUUUACAAAUGACAAUAGUUCUUUCAAUUGCCACAGUCUUGCUUCCUCUUUGCUUGGCUGCAGCACGGCAUCUAUGUUCUGAACGAAUUUAAAUGCUAUAGCUAUCAGCUCCUAACUUUUUUGAUUCUAGUAUCAGCAAUUUC
Molecule: unclassified non-coding RNA, 259 nt
Filed under: Hevea brasiliensis (rubber tree)
Lineage: Eukaryota; Viridiplantae; Streptophyta; Magnoliopsida; Malpighiales; Euphorbiaceae
Source: RNAcentral